CCAUAUGACCCUUAAUGCACAUGCACCUGAUCUCUAAUCUCAGAAGCUAAGCACUGUUGGGCCUGGUUAGUAUAUGGA
This is a ribosomal RNA of Nomascus leucogenys (northern white-cheeked gibbon), 78 nucleotides long. NCBI's taxonomy places the organism in Eukaryota, Metazoa, Chordata, Mammalia, Primates, Hylobatidae. The record is from Ensembl.